CUACGGGGGGCUGCAGUAAGGAAUAUUGCGCAAUGGAGGCAACUCUGACGCAGCCAUGCCGCGUGCAGGAAGAAGGCCUUAUGGGUCGUAAACUGCUUUUAUUUAGGAAUAAACCCCCGAACGUGUUCGGGGCUGAAGGUACCAAACGAAUAAGCACCGGCUAACUCCGUGCCAGCAGCCGCGGUAAUACGGAGGGUGCAAGCGUUAUCCGGAUUUAUUGGGUUUAAAGGGUGCGCAGGCGGGCUAUUAAGUCAGUGGUGAAAUCCCGGGGCUCAACUCCGGAACUGCCAUUGAUACUGAUAGUCUUGAGUUUGGUUGAAGUGGGCGGAAUGUAGCAUGUAGCGGUGAAAUGCAUAGAUAUGCUACAGAACACCAAUCGCGAAGGCAGCUCACUAAGCCAAAACUGACGCUCAUGCACGAAAGCGGGGGGAUCAAACAGGAUUAGAUACCCGAGUAGUC
This 459-nucleotide ribosomal RNA is filed under the name uncultured bacterium. RNAcentral's name for it is "partial 16S ribosomal RNA". It matches the Rfam family "Bacterial small subunit ribosomal RNA", at positions 339 to 795 of the family's 1533-position model. The record is from RNAcentral.